CCUACGGGAGGCAGCAGUGGGGAAUAUUGCGCAAUGGGCGAAAGCCUGACGCAGCGACGCCGCGUGAGGGAUGAAGGUCUUCGGAUUGUUAACCCCUUUCAGCAGGGAAGAACGGUCACUGUGCUAAUCAGUAGUGAAUUGACGGUACCUGCAAAGGAAGCACCGGCUAACUCCGUGCCAGCAGCCGCGGUAAUUCGGAGGGUGCGUGCGUUAAUUGGAAUUACUGGGCGUAAAGCGCUCGUAGGCGGUAUGUCAAAUCAAGGGGGAAAUCCGCGCGCUCAACGUGGGAACUGCCGUUGAAACUGGCAAACUGGAGUGUGUGAGAGGAAAGUGGAAUUCGAGGUGUAGGGGUGAAAUCCGUAGAUAUCUGGAGGAACAUCAGUGGCGAAGGCGACUAACUGGCACAUAACUGACGCUGAGGAGCGAAAGCGUGGGUAGCAAACAGGAUUAGAUACCCCUGUAGUC
Molecule: ribosomal RNA, 465 nt
Filed under: uncultured bacterium
Lineage: Bacteria
Description: partial 16S ribosomal RNA
Rfam family: Bacterial small subunit ribosomal RNA
Source: RNAcentral